This 32-nucleotide non-coding RNA is filed under the name Mus musculus (house mouse). The record is from RNAcentral. Lineage: Eukaryota; Metazoa; Chordata; Mammalia; Rodentia; Muridae.
UGCCAUUUAAUGACUUGUGCCUCUUCUGCAAC